CGUAAAGCGCAUGCAGGCGGCCUGUUAAGUUCAGAUGUGAAAGCCCGGGGCUUAACCUCGGGAAUUGCAUUUGAAACUGGCAGGCUAGAGUCUUGUAGAGGGGGGUAGGAAUUUCAGGUGUAGCGGUGAAAUGCGUAGAGAUCUGAAGGAAUACCAGUGGCGAAGGCGGCCCCCUGGACAAAGACUGACGCUCAGAUGCGAAAGCGUGGGGAGCAAACAGGAUUAGAUACCCCUGGUAG
This 239-nucleotide ribosomal RNA is filed under the name uncultured bacterium. RNAcentral's name for it is "partial 16S ribosomal RNA". It matches the Rfam family "Bacterial small subunit ribosomal RNA", at positions 559 to 793 of the family's 1533-position model. The record is from RNAcentral.